UUAAGAUACUAAGGGCGUAUGGUGGAUGCCUUGGCAUAGAUAGGCGAUGAAGGACGUGAUAAGCUGCGAUAAGCUACGGGGAGCUGCAAAUAAGCUUUGAUCCGUAGAUGUCCGAAUGGGGAAACCCGGCUGAGCGAAGCUCAGUCACUUCUUGACUGAAUACAUAGGUCUUGAAGAGCGAACCCGGAGAACUGAAACAUCUAAGUACCCGGAGGAAAAGAAAGCAAUUGCGAUUUCCCAAGUAGCGGCGAGCGAACGGGAAUUAGCCCAAACCAGUGCGGUUUCGGCCACACUGGGGUUGUAGGGCCUACAUUAUAAGAGUUAUGCGCAGAAAUCGAAGCUGACUGGAAAGCAGCGCCACAGUGGGUGAUAGCCCCGUAGGUGUAAUGCAAUUAACUCUUGUAGGAACCCUGAGUACCUCGGGACCGGAGAAAUCCCGUGGGAAGCUACCAGCACCAUCUUGGUAAGGCUAAAUACUUAUCUAUGACCGAUAGUGAACCAGUACCGUGAGGGAAAGGUGAAAAGAACGCCUCAAAGGCGAGUGAAAUAGUACCUGAAACCAUACGCUUACAAGCAGUGGGAGCCUUGGCCUUGUGCCAGGGUGACCGCGUGCCUUUUGCAUAAUGAGCCUACGAGUUACUCCUCACUGGCAAGGUUAAGGCCCUCAGGGCCGGAGCCGCAGCGAAAGCGAGUCCGAACAGGGCGCCACAGUCAGUGGGGGUAGACGCGAAACCAAGUGAUCUAUCCAUGGUCAGGGUGAAGCGUGGGUAAGACCACGUGGAGGCCCGAACCGCCUGACGUUGAAAAGUCAUCGGAUGAACUGUGGAUAGGGGUGAAAGGCCAAUCAAACUUGGAGAUAGCUCGUACUCCCCGAAAUACAUUUAGGUGUAGCGUUUUAGUUAGUGUGCUGGAGGUAGAGCACUGAUUGGACUAGGGCCCUUCACCGGGUACCAAAUCCAGACAAACUCCGAAUACCAGCACAUCAUCUAGGGCAGUGAGGGCGCGGGCGAUAAGGUCCGUGUCCGAGAGGAAAACAAUCCAGAUCGACAGCUAAGGUCCCUAAGUACAGACUAAGUUGUAGUUUAAAGGAAGUCAGGCUGCACAGACAAUCAGGAUGUUGGCUUAGAAGCAGCCAUUCAUUUAAAGAGUGCGUAAUAGCUCACUGAUCGAGCGGCCCGGCAUCGAAAAUUUUCGGGCAUUAAGUCUGACACCGAAGCUUCGAAUGUGUCCUGUUCGCAGGGCACGUGGUAGGGGAGCAUUCCAGUACCAUGGAAGCUGUGCCGUAAGGCAUGGUGAAGGUGCUGGAAAAGAAAAUGUAGGCAUGAGUAACGAUAAGACUGAUGAGAAAUCAGUCCGCCGUAAGCCUAAGGGUUUCUGUUCAACGUUAAUCGGAACAGAGUUAGUCGGGUCCUAAGCCGAGGCCGAAAGGCGUAGGCGAUGGAAAACGGGUUAACAUUCCCGUACCACCCACUCACGUUAAUGUAAGGCGUGACGCAGGAGCGUAAGGUCCGCGCACUGACGGAAUAGUGCGUUAAAGUACGUAGGCAGGGAGAAUAGGCAAAUCCGUUCUCCCGCUAAUGCUGAAAUACGACAGUAGGGGGAGCCUUCGGGCAAACCCAUAGUGACCCCAAGCACGCUGCCAAGAAAAGCGUCGUACAUUGUGAAGGGUGCUCGUACCCUAAACCGACACAGGUAGGCGAGGAGAGUAUCCUCAGGCGCUCGAGUGAUCCGUAGCUAAGGAACUCGGCAAAUUCGUCCCGUAACUUCGGGAUAAGGGACGCCCUUUCUCAUCCAAAAGCGAGAAAGGGCCGCAGAGAAUAGGCCCAAACGACUGUUUACCAAAAACACAGUCCUCUGCUAAAUCGUAAGAUGACGUAUAGGGGAUGACACCUGCCCGGUGCUGGAAGGUUAAGGAAGCUUGUUAUCCAGGUUCGCCUGGAAAAGCUCGCGACCGAAGCCCCAGUAAACGGCGGCCGUAACUAUAACGGUCCUAAGGUAGCGAAAUUCCUUGUCGGGUAAGUUCCGACCUGCACGAAUGGUGCAACGAUUUGGGCACUGUCUCAGCUACGGGCUCGGUGAAAUUGUGGUACCGGUGAAGACGCCGGUUUCCUACAGUGGGACGGAAAGACCCCGUGCACCUUUACUAUACCCUAACAUUGACAUUGACCAAAGCAUGUGCAGGAUAGGCGGGAGACGUAGAAGCGAUGUCGCCAGGCAUUGUGGAGUCGCCCUUGAAAUACCGCCCUUGCCUUGGUUAGUGCCUAACUCGCGACCGUUAUCCGGUCGGAGAACAUUGUUAGGCGGGUAGUUUGACUGGGGCGGUCGCCUCCUAAAAAGUAACGGAGGCUCUCAAAGGUACCCUCAGCGCGGUCGGUAAUCGCGCAUAGAGUGUAAAGGCACAAGGGUGCUUGACUGCGAGACAUACAGGUCGAGCAGGUGCGAAAGCAGGACUUAGUGAUCCGGCGGUUCCGAAUGGAAGGGCCGUCGCUCAAAGGAUAAAAGGUACGCCGGGGAUAACAGGCUAAUCUCCGCCAAGAGUUCACAUCGACGCGGAGGUUUGGCACCUCGAUGUCGGCUCGUCGCAUCCUGGGGCUGAAGAAGGUCCCAAGGGUUGGGCUGUUCGCCCAUUAAAGCGGCACGCGAGCUGGGUUCAGAACGUCGUGAGACAGUUCGGUCCCUAUCUACUGUAGGCGAAGGAGACUUGCGCGGAUCUGUCUUUAGUACGAGAGGACCGAGAUGGACGGACCGCUAGUGCACCUGUUGUGGCGCCAGCUGCAUCGCAGGGUAGCUAUGUCCGGAAGGGAUAAGCGCUGAAAGCAUCUAAGCACGAAGCCCACCGCAAGAUUAGGUCUCCCCAAUAGGUCGUUCAAGACGAGGACGUAGAUAGGCGACAAGUGUAAGCGUAGUAAUACGUUCAGCUGAGUCGUACUAAUUACCUAUAAGGCUUAAACCC
This 2953-nucleotide ribosomal RNA is filed under the name Rhodothermaceae bacterium Tc-Br11_B2g6_7. RNAcentral describes it as "bacterial LSU rRNA". It matches the Rfam family "Bacterial large subunit ribosomal RNA". Lineage: Bacteria; Pseudomonadati; Rhodothermota; Rhodothermia; Rhodothermales; Rhodothermaceae. RNAcentral also lists the same sequence under 2 other names. The record is from RNAcentral.